This 393-nucleotide ribosomal RNA is filed under the name uncultured bacterium. RNAcentral's name for it is "partial 16S ribosomal RNA". It matches the Rfam family "Bacterial small subunit ribosomal RNA", at positions 523 to 918 of the family's 1533-position model. The record is from RNAcentral.
AUACGGAGGAUGCAAGCGUUAUCCGGAUUUAUUGGGUUUAAAGGGUGCGUAGGCGGUUUGCUAAGCGGGAGGUGAAAUGCCGGCGCUCAACGUCGGAAGUGCCUCCCGAACUGGUGGACUUGAAUGACUCUGCCGUGGGAGGAAUGCGUAGUGUAGCGGUGAAAUGCUUAGAGAUUACACAGAACACCGAUUGCGAAGGCAUCUCACGAAGGGUUGAUUGACGCUGAGGCACGAAAGCGUGGGGAUCAAACAGGAUUAGAUACCCUGGUAGUCCACGCAGUAAACGAUGAUGGCUAACCGCUGGGCUUAUCAGUUCAGUGGCCAAGCGAAAGCGAUAAGCCAUCCACCUGGGGAGUACGACCGCAAGGUUGAAACUCAAAUGAAUUGACGGGG